Molecule: ribosomal RNA, 256 nt
Filed under: uncultured bacterium
Lineage: Bacteria
Description: partial 16S ribosomal RNA
Rfam family: Bacterial small subunit ribosomal RNA
Source: RNAcentral
UACGUAGGGCGCAAGCGUUGUCCGGAAUUAUUGGGCGUAAAGAGCUCGUAGGCGGCCUGUUGCGUCCGCUGUGAAAUCCCGGGGGCUCAACCCCGGGCCUGCAGUGGAUACGGGCUGGCUAGAGGCAGGCAGGGGGAGAACGGAAUUCCUGGUGUAGCGGUGGAAAUGCGCAGAUAUCAGGAGGAACACCGGUGGCGAAGGCGGUUCUCUGGGCCUGUACUGACGCUGAGGAGCGAAAGCGUGGGGAGCGAACAGG